UUUCUUCUCUCAGUUGCAGCAGAUAAAAUUUCAACAACAUCUUCAUCAAAUUCUUCCAAACUGGACAAAGCCAUAACAAAACCACAAUCAAAACGAUAUAACACCGUAAAAAAUUUUUUUUAAAAAAAUUUCAGAA
This is a long non-coding RNA of Telopea speciosissima, 136 nucleotides long. RefSeq lists it as uncharacterized. The record is from RefSeq and is a predicted model, not a curated record. The transcript is spliced from 3 exons. NCBI's taxonomy places the organism in Eukaryota, Viridiplantae, Streptophyta, Magnoliopsida, Proteales, Proteaceae.